This 230-nucleotide unclassified non-coding RNA is filed under the name plant metagenome. RNAcentral describes it as "partial contains small subunit ribosomal RNA and internal transcribed spacer 1". The record is from RNAcentral.
AAGGUCAUUAACCAAAGGUUUAACGGCGGGGUACAUCCGCGAGGAUCAAUUACAAGUGAGGGCGUACCGAACGCUGGAAACAGCGGUUAGGAGCUUACACCCACCCGCGUUUACAUACUAUUGUUGCUUUGGUGGGCCGUGGCCUCUACUGCGGGCUCUGCUCGUGUGUGCCCGCCAGAGGACCAAACUCUGAAUGUUAGUGAUGUCUGAGUACUAUCUAAUAGUUAAAA